UACGGAGGGGGCAAGCGUUAUUCGGAAUUAUUGGGCGUAAAGGGCGCGUAGGCGGCUAGAUGUGUCAAAGGUGAAAUCCCUCGGCUCAACUGAGGAACUGCCUUUGAAACUGUCUGGCUUGAGGCCGGGAGAGGGUAGCGGAAUUCCCAGUGUAGCGGUGAAAUGCGUAGAUAUUGGGAGGAGCACCAGUGGCGAAGGCGGCUACCUGGACCGGUUCUGACGCUGAGGCGCGAAAGCGUGGGUAGCAAACAGG
Molecule: ribosomal RNA, 253 nt
Filed under: uncultured bacterium
Lineage: Bacteria
Description: partial 16S ribosomal RNA
Rfam family: Bacterial small subunit ribosomal RNA
Source: RNAcentral